RNAcentral lists this ribosomal RNA (602 nucleotides) under Staphylococcus sp. EA_L_18. Its description in RNAcentral is "bacterial SSU rRNA". It matches the Rfam family "Bacterial small subunit ribosomal RNA", at positions 31 to 616 of the family's 1533-position model. The record is from RNAcentral. Lineage: Bacteria; Bacillati; Bacillota; Bacilli; Caryophanales; Staphylococcaceae.
AAAGGCUAGGGCGGGUGCUAUACAUGCAAGUCGAGCGAACAGACGAGGAGCUUGCUCCUCUGACGUUAGCGGCGGACGGGUGAGUAACACGUGGAUAACCUACCUAUAAGACUGGGAUAACUUCGGGAAACCGGAGCUAAUACCGGAUAAUAUAUUGAACCGCAUGGUUCAAUAGUGAAAGACGGUUUUGCUGUCACUUAUAGAUGGAUCCGCGCCGCAUUAGCUAGUUGGUAAGGUAACGGCUUACCAAGGCAACGAUGCGUAGCCGACCUGAGAGGGUGAUCGGCCACACUGGAACUGAGACACGGUCCAGACUCCUACGGGAGGCAGCAGUAGGGAAUCUUCCGCAAUGGGCGAAAGCCUGACGGAGCAACGCCGCGUGAGUGAUGAAGGUCUUCGGAUCGUAAAACUCUGUUAUUAGGGAAGAACAAAUGUGUAAGUAACUAUGCACGUCUUGACGGUACCUAAUCAGAAAGCCACGGCUAACUACGUGCCAGCAGCCGCGGUAAUACGUAGGUGGCAAGCGUUAUCCGGUAUUAUUGGGCGUAAAGCGCGCGUAGGCGGUUUUUUAAGUCUGAUGUGAAAGCCCACGGCUCAACCGU